Molecule: ribosomal RNA, 257 nt
Filed under: uncultured bacterium
Lineage: Bacteria
Description: partial 16S ribosomal RNA
Rfam family: Bacterial small subunit ribosomal RNA
Source: RNAcentral
UACGUAGGGAGCAAGGCGUUGUCCGGAAUCAUUGGGCGUAAAGCGCGCGUAGGUGGCCAUGUAAGUCCGCUGUGAAAGUCAAAGGCUCAACCUUUGAAAGCCGGUGGAUACUGCAUGGCUAGAGUACGGAAGAGGCGAAGUGGAAUUCCUGGUGUAGGCGGUGAAAUGCGCAGAUAUCGGGAAGAACACCCGUGGCGAAGGCGGCACUCUCGGGAGCGGUACUGACGCUGAGACGCGAAAGCGUGGGAGCGAACAGG